This 4336-nucleotide transfer RNA is filed under the name Salmo salar (Atlantic salmon). RNAcentral describes it as "lncRNA (ENSSSAG00000102220.1)". The record is from RNAcentral. Lineage: Eukaryota; Metazoa; Chordata; Actinopteri; Salmoniformes; Salmonidae.
CGUGAGUUUGUCAUCAUUUUUUAUCUAGACAUAGGAUAGGUUGUGUGAAAAUAUUACUGAUGUUUAACGUUAAAAAUGGACCAAAAGAUUAAUGCUAAACAACAUUUGACAUGUUUGAAUGAACAUAAAAAGAUUAUUUACUAGUUUUUUUUUUAGCUUUUCGGCGUGAUUUUACCAGCCCCCCACCACGUUUUGUGGGAGCAUAAUGAACGCUAAGUACUUGGUGUUAUUUGGACAUAAAUUAUGAACUUUGUCAAAAGAAACCACAUUUGUUCCGGACCUGGAAUGCCUUCCGGACCUGGGAUCCUGCCUUCUGAUGGAGAUAAUCAAAGCUCAUCAACUUUGUUAUCCAAAGACGGAAGCGGUGGAUGGUGUGCGCGCCUCCUAAGUCGAACCAGCAGGCCGCCUCGAGUGCCUCUCCUCCGCCGGCGAUGUUUUGGGUCGGCCUCUGCAAUAAGUUCAACUGCUCUGGGGAGAGUGAACAAAGGAUCUGCUCCAGGGAAGUCGUAUUACUGAUCGUAAUGCUGGUAGUUCUGGUGAGUUACUGCCGCUCUAAUGUCCAAUAGUUCUUCCCGGCUAAUAUUGUAAAAAAUAGUACAUAAAAAAACGAAAUACGGCAAAGUUUUCGAAGAGCUAGUCGUGAUGCUGCCAUCUCCGUUGGCACCAUUUUCUAUGGAUAAAAACAAGCUGAUUUCAAAAGACCCAGGUGGGACUUGAACCCACAAUCCCCAGCUCCGGAGGCUGAUGCCUUAUCCAUUAGGCCACUGGGCCAAUGACUGCUUCCUUUUGGUCUCAUGUUGCCCACAAUUAAACUUCCUUGUUUAUUUCAAUUUCCAUGUUAUUGCAAAGCAGAGAUGUCACUAGAGAUUCAUGGAUAGGGGGGCUAAGCCUCUUUUAAGGGGGACAGGGCAUACUCCCCCAGGAUUUGUUUUAAAGCCCCAAAACGUAUUUUCAUCAUAUAUUUUGAAAGUAACAACGGGUGUAAAAUCUAUCAAAAUAAGAUUAUUUUUGGUCAAGGUUUGAUAAAAGUAUACCUGUCUCAUAGUUUCUGUGUAAUGAACACGAUGGGAGACAGAGAGCUGGUUUCAAGUGCAGGGUGCAGGAAGUGUUUAUUGGUAAAGGACCACAGGAGGAGGCAGGUAGCUAGGUCCAGGGGCAGACAGAAGGUCAUACACAGGGGUCCAAAAAGGUAACAGUACAGACAGGGAAAACGCUAGUAAUGUCAUCCAGGAGAUCAGGCAAUAGGUUGAUAACAGGAAAUCCAAUAGGCUAAAGUACAGGCAGGGAAUAGGCAAAAGGUGUCGUUAGUGAGGCAGGCCAAAACUAUCAUACACGGGAGGAUUAAAUUACGGGAAAAACAGAGCUCUGAAUAGAAGUGUGUCACAAAACAAACAAUACCUCACAAUGAUGUGGUGCAAAGAACGGAAAUGAAUAGUGUGUUAUAAUGAUAUACAGGUGUGUGAACACGUGAUCAGAAUUCAGGUGAUUGGGAUCUGGAGAGUGAGCUGCCUUCAGAGGAUCUAUGUGUUUGAGAGUGUGAGUUGGAAGCAGACGUUACAUUGUGUUAGACACUGAUCUAAUAUGACUUACUUAAAUUCUCUCCAAAGAAGUCCACUCUGUCCCCAUCCAUCCAACAACAAAAGGCACAAAAAUGGCUGUACUAUGUAGCCAAAAUACUUAGGGAUUUUAUUUUGAGAGAGAGAGAGGAGAGGAGAGAGAGAAAGGUUCAGGUCAUGUUAUAUCAUUAGAAAAAAACUGUAUCAUCCACAAAGGGGCAGAACUAAAUUCAACUAAUGAGCUAAAUAAAAUAAAAAAACUGAAAAAUAAUUAGGAAUAAAAUCUGAUCAAAAAGUAAGAUCCCAAACAAAUAUUAGAACCUAUAUUAAGGAACUGCUCCUCCUGCUUCUCUCUUUUGAUGCUUAUUUUGUGGGUGGACGCAUCAAAGUGUACCUCCUAUUUUUAAAGGUUGCAAAGUGGUCAAUGACACUAUUGUGGCUUAGUGGCCCAAACACUUCACCCUCAAUGGACAUGGCUGCAAGACUUGCAGGCUUUUCUGACCCAUUGUCUUACGCAACCAGGAGUGCAUCUGGCGCAGUGCACUAAGGGACCUUUCACAGGAGCAGCUGCUCACAGGAAUUGUGAGGGCAACCUGAAUGAUUUCUUCAGAGAAGGAAACUUAUCAUCAUCCAGGAGGUUAUGCACAGCAAGCACAUCCAGCCUCUCUUUUCCGGGCAAGAAAGUUUCCGGCCACCAACAUCUCUUCUGUUUUAACCUCAAUACUGUAGUGCUUGGCAAACUCAGUUAAGCAUGAUGUAUCAAGGAAGUUUUUUGAGUUGGGUUAAAAUGCCUGUAUGCCUUUGAUCAGACCUGCAUCUACAGUCGAGAAUACAUCUUGUCCAUGCAGGGGAGCAACAACUCUGUUUUCAUUGUUUGGGAACAUGACAAUUCUGUACCUAAACCCAAGGAGGUCUCCACCACAAAAUCUACCAUUGUCCUUUGUUUGCUAUUUCUUCCUCUGGAAUAUUGUGAAUUUCAAAGAGUGCUUGUGGUUCUGUCAUAAAGUUCUAGGGCAAAUGCAUCUGUGCAUUUGCCUAUCAGUGUGUCACAUACAGCUUGUUUGCCAGAACAAGCUUCUGCCAGGCCUACAGUCUCUUUCUGGAGGAACUUAUGUAGUACCUCAGUUAUAGAAAGAAGGCACUGAAACAUCAGUAGCAAAUACAUGGUGGAGAACUUAUGAAGCUUUGCUCUCAGACCAACAGCCAUGGGGGAUCCAAUGGCAGAUAGACAAUCAAAUAGAGCAGUUAAAGUGUCCAGGACUGCAUUCAUGGACCGCAGCUGGCACGCCCAGCGAGUGUUUGAGAACUGUACAAGUUCAGCUGAUGCUAUUCCAAGUUUGAACUUGUGGUGGUUAACUAGGGAUAAACUGAAAAACAAAAACACAUUCUCCAAGAAAUUGAAAAACUCAGCAGCCUCCGGAAUAGCCCUGCAAGUAUGACACAAUACCAAAUUAAACUCAUGAGCAUAGCAAUGUACAUAAAUUGCCUCCGGAUGCAGCACUCUGAAAUGUGCUUGCACACCUCCUUUGGACCCACUCAUGACAGCUGCACCAUCAUAGGUCUGUGCAACCCACUUUAGGCCUGCUACCCCUCCCAUUUGGAGCUGCUGUUGCAACUAAUUUGCUUUCGAUUGGGCAUCAAAUGACUUAAUUUCUGCUUGUGCUAGUAAAAGCUCCUUAACUGUCCCCUCUGUCACAUACAGUUGAAUUUUAAUGACUCCAACCUAAGUGUAUGUCAACUUCCGACUUCAACUGUAUGUUCUGUGAGCCAUGAGAAUGACAACAAUGGCAGUGUAUGCGUUUGAUUGUGUCCUCACGUUGGGCCAGGAGAAUCAUUAACCUUUUUCUCAUACAAAUUCCCCAUAUUGGCAAUAGCCAAUAUUGCCAAUAUGAUACAAUCUUCUUUUUUAUCCUAGAACAUUUUACUGUGUCCAAUAGUCGGUCGUUGUUCCAGCAAUGUUCAGUGGGUUGCAGACUCUCAGUCCUCAGUAUCAUUUACUUUUAGUCAUUCCAAAUAUUGAGCCCAGUAGAUAGGUUACCUAAUACAGGGUAUAACUCACAUAAUGGUUGUAGUUAAAUCACAUUUCAGUGGAUGGGACAGGUUAAUCAUUAGGAACAGAGGCUUUAGCCAACCCCAUCAUUACAUCACCCAGCCAUCAGGACUCAGGGAAUUGAGUUUGACUGACUGGUUAUACACUAGAAGACCAGUGACACCAGUGACACCAAUUGACCUUGUGUUGGGCUGUCACGUCUACACAGCUGGAGGUGUGAAAAACGGCUGAAUGAAUCCAGACAAUACAGCCAGGUAUAGCAACAGGUACACAACAACAACAACAAAAACACACGCACACACUCUCGGUCUGGUAUCUCCACAUUCAGAGAGCCAUAUUGUAUGUGAUUUUUGGCUUGGCUGGUUUUUGCUGGAUUGUCACGAUUGAGCUGAAUAGGUUUUACUGCAUAUGUUAACCUAAUCCCAAUAUGCACCCCUCCGUAAAGUUUUUAUUUUGCUGGUGACUAGGGAGGAUCAUUUGCAAAGCAAGCAGUAUGGGGAAUAUAUCCUAAGGAAUAAAGUUAUUUCCACUAUAUUUCCUAAUCACACAGAUUAAAUUACCUAUAAAACAGAUCCAUGCCCACACAUUUACUUUUAAUGGUCAUUUAAUUAUUCAUUAGUUCUAAUUUGCAUUUUCUUCUAAUUCAGUCAAUGAUUCAUGAAUAAUGUUAUUACAGUGAGGGGAAAAAAGUAUUUGAUCCCUUGCUGAUUUUGUACGUUUGCCCACUGAC